AAAGUCGUAACAAGGUUUCCGUAGGUGAACCUGCGGAAGGAUCAUUACUGCUUGCUCACAGCGUCUUUCCGGGAAACCGGGGAGGCGUUGGGCAUGCCACCCUUGUCUAUUUAUACCAUUUGUUACUUCCCUCGGCGGGGCAACCCGCCGCUGGGGACAAACCAAACCCUUUGUAGUAAGCAUCAAAAUCUGAAACAAACAAAAUAAUCACAACUUUUAACAAUGGAUCUCUUGGUUCUG
This 240-nucleotide unclassified non-coding RNA is filed under the name Ascomycota sp. RNAcentral's name for it is "partial contains small subunit ribosomal RNA, internal transcribed spacer 1, and 5.8S ribosomal RNA". The stretch from base 1 to 47 matches the Rfam family "Eukaryotic small subunit ribosomal RNA", at positions 1785 to 1831 of the family's 1831-position model. Lineage: Eukaryota; Fungi; Ascomycota. The record is from RNAcentral.